This is a long non-coding RNA of Gordionus sp. m RMFG-2023, 409 nucleotides long. RefSeq lists it as uncharacterized. The record is from RefSeq and is a predicted model, not a curated record. The transcript has 3 exons. NCBI's taxonomy places the organism in Eukaryota, Metazoa, Nematomorpha, Gordioida, Chordodea, Parachordodidae.
CUUUUUUUUUGUAUAUAUCGUAAUAUUGUAAUCGAGUAUUCUGUAAUUUUGAAAGAUUAACAUAUAAUAAACAAUCAAAUAAAUACGGAUCGCAACAGAUAUAUAAUUAGGUCUACCAUGAAAAUUAUAUUUUGCUUAGAACUUUGCUGUUAAUUGGGAUAGAUUCUAAAUCUCUAACAAUGCUGAAAAAAUAAUAUUAAUAGAUGAUGCUUCAGAUCAAUGGUACUGGCUGCUACUUCACAAACGAUUUUUUUUUAUAAAAGUAGUCUGCUUCUCAGAUUUAAAAUUUAGAAAACAAAAUGGUAAUUUAGUUAUAUUUUUGUCAGCCAAAGCAGACUAUUUAAAAAAAAAAAUUUUUUUUUUGUAAUGUAAUAUUUCUCAACAUUAAUAUUAAUAACUUCCUUUUCAA